RNAcentral lists this ribosomal RNA (1178 nucleotides) under metagenome. RNAcentral describes it as "SSU rRNA". It matches the Rfam family "Eukaryotic small subunit ribosomal RNA", at positions 558 to 1760 of the family's 1831-position model. The record is from RNAcentral.
AGUCUGGUGCCAGCAGCCGCGGUAAUUCCAGCUCCGCAGGUGUAUAUCUAUGCUGCUGCGGUUAAAAAGCUCGUAGUUGGAUCUGCGUGCUCGGAACCGGUUGGCUCACUGAGUUCAAACUGGUCUCCGGCGCUUUAUUGGCUGGUUUUCCCUUGAUGCUCUUAACCGGGUGUCUUGGGUGGCUAGCACGUUUACUUUGAAAAAAUUAGAGUGCUCAAUACAGGCGCAAAGCCUUGAAUAGUGGUGCAUGGAAUAAUAGAAUAGGACCUCGGCUCUAUUUUGUUGGUUUUCGGAACGCGAGGUAAUGAUUAAGAGGGACAGACGGGGGCAUUCGUAUUGCGACGUUAGAGGUGAAAUUCUUGGAUCGUCGCAAGACGGACGACUGCGAAAGCAUUUGCCAAGAAUGUUUUCAUUAAUCAAGAACGAAAGUUAGAGGUUCGAAGGCGAUCAGAUACCGCCCUAGUUCUAACCGUAAACGAUGCCAACUAGCGAUCCGCAGGCGUUAAACAACGACCUUGCGGGCAGCUUCCCGGAAACGAAAGUGUUCGGGUUCCGGGGGAAGUAUGGUUGCAAAGCUGAAACUUAAAGGAAUUGACGGAAGGGCACCACCAGGAGUGGAGCCUGCGGCUUAAUUUGACCCAACACGGGAAAACUCACCCGGCCCGGACACCGUAAGGAUUGACAGAUUGAGAGCUCUUUCUUGAUUCGGUGGGUGGUGGUGCAUGGCCGUUCUUAGUUGGUGGAGCGAUUUGUCUGGUUUAUUCCGAUAACGAACGAGACUCUGGCCUACUAAAUAGUGGGCGGAUUCUUUCUGUCCGCAACACUUCUUAGAGGGACAAGCGGUGUUCAGCCGCACGAGAUUGAGCAAUAACAGGUCUGUGAUGCCCUUAGAUGUCCGGGGCUGCACGCGCGCUACACUGAAGGAAUCAGCGUGCUUUCUGACCUUGCCCGAAAGGGCUGGGUAACCCGAUGAAAAUCCUUCGUGAUUGGGAUAGGGACUUGCAAUUAUUUCCCUUGAACGAGGAAUUCCCAGUAAGUGUGGGUCAUAAGCUCGCGUUGAUUACGUCCCUGCCCUUUGUACACACCGCCCGUCGCUGCCCGGGACUGAGCCGUUUCGAGAAGAACAGGGACCGUCGUUGAAGGGCCCUAACGGGCUUUUCUCUGAUAGAAACUGUUUU